Ceratotherium simum simum (southern white rhinoceros) is the source of this 90-nucleotide non-coding RNA. The record is from RefSeq and is a predicted model, not a curated record. Lineage: Eukaryota; Metazoa; Chordata; Mammalia; Perissodactyla; Rhinocerotidae.
GUGAUUAUGAGGGACUAAGGUAGGUGGGAAUGCAGAAUUAUUGUUUAGUGGGUGCCAAGUUUUAGUUUGGGAAGAUGAAAAAAUUCUGGA